Non-coding RNA from Microcebus murinus (gray mouse lemur), 3801 nucleotides. Lineage: Eukaryota; Metazoa; Chordata; Mammalia; Primates; Cheirogaleidae. The record is from RefSeq and is a predicted model, not a curated record.
CACACACACACUCUCACCGGGGCAAGCUGAUAUCGGGCUUUGUUUAUUUACAGAGUGUGGGAGUUCCAAGGUUUUAAGGACGGGUUGAUGUGGGAGCAGAGUCCCAGGGGAGGAUUAUCCUGCAGCCAGACCUAAUGUCCAGCCCCAAGGGAGAGGGGCCAGGCAAGGCCAACGGAGGGUCCGGGCCCAGACCUAGCAAGGCAGUGGCCGCAGUGGGAAUGCGCUGUUCACUAGGAAUCACCUACCUGGCUCCAUGUCUGGGUUCUGAUGGGUGAGUAAGAGUUUUCUGGACUGAAGUGGGAGUCAAGGCUGCAGCACAGGGUCGUCCUAACACUCAGAGGCUGAGUCUAUGGUGGGGAGAAUUGGUCUGAAUCGUCACCCACUGGGAAGGAAGAGCCGCACAGGCUCACGCCAUUCCCUUCCUCCCUUCCUGGGGUUUGCCUGCCCUCGUCCCUGCGCUGGAGUGGGUGUGGGGGCGCUGCCGAGGACGACGGGGUGACUGCUGCACAGAGCUCUUGGGCUGGUGGGGCAGACAGACAGGCGGGUGACCAAGCACAGAGUAGCAGGGAAGGGGGCACCGGCGUGGCCCAGGACACUCGGGGACACCAUCAGAGCAGGUGGUUUUGAAGCUGGAUCCCAAAGGAGUAAGUAGGGAUCUACAAAAGAGCCUGUGGAAUAAAUGACUCUGCAACCACCACAAUCCCUGGAGAGGAGGGAAAGGUGUUUUUGAGCUUGGCCCAUUCCGUGGAGUUCGGAAGACUCUUUUUAUUUAAUGUCCCCAGUUUGGCCAAUCUGCCAAAGGUUUAAGCAGAGGAAAGAGAAGUUUCUGUUCCUCCGACUCCCCUUAUCACUCCUAGUGGUUUUCCUUGAACCAUAAAUCAAAUGCUGAGCCUCCCUGCGCACACUUCCCGAGUGCGGGCGCUCGGGCCUCCGAGCCCCGUGUCCAGAGCUCCGGGCAUCCCGCCCUCCACUCACCCUUCCCCCAGGCCCGCCUUUCCCCGCGGCCCUCCCGGCUGUCUGUGAUGUUAACAUCGAAGGACAAAUGCAGUCGCAUAUUUCAAAGUCAUCAGGCAGAUCUGAUUAAUUUUGGAAAUGAACAACAAGAAGAUUCAUCACAAACUUUCAGGACCUUCCUCCCCCAGACACCAAUCAUGAUCCAGGUGGGCUCAGCAGGUGAGCAGACAGCAGAGGCCAAUGCCCAAAUGCAGCUGGAGAGUCAGUGUAGCCUGGACAGGUGGCAGCAAUGACGGAAGAGGUAAUGAAGUUAAUACGAGGUCAUUUGUGUGGAUCUUAAGGACUGGUGGCCUUAUAAGCAGAAGAGAUUUGGAAACAGAAAGAAAGGAGGAAACAGAAGGAAAAUAUAAAGAAGACAAUGUAAAGGGACACAGGAAGAAGAUGCCACCUGCAAGUCAAGGAGAGGGUGUGGAACAUACCCUUCCCUCACAGUUCUCAGGAGGAACACCCCUGCUGACACCUUGACUUAGACUUCCCGCCUCCAGAGCCAUGAGACGAUAUCCUUCUAUUAGGAAGACCCCUGUGACUGUCGCAGCGUGGAGGCCAGAUGGGGUGGGGAGACCGUGUCCACGGGAGCACUGAAGAGGCUCAGGGAAGAUUCCAGAGCUGUUCAGGAGGCAUCACUGCUGCGAUGAACUGAGCAACAAGCAGCACAAAAGGUUCUCGAAGUUGGACUUGCUGACAGCGCUCGGGGAUUGGAGCGGGAGAAAGUCACGGAUUCCUCCUCCUCCCGUGUGGAGAAAUUCUUUGGCAGAAUUAGCGGUGCUCCCUGGGAAAUUCGCUCUGCAAAUAGGUUCGUUUUUGAGUGGGUUACUCAUCUUGCAUCAAAUUAUCAAAUUAGACCCCACAAAUCACAGCCAACUCUCCCUUGACAGACAGCCUUGGCGCUGGGCUCAGCUCUCUUCCGGGCAGUCUCCCUGUAGUCCUGAAAAUCUCUUCUUUCCUGGCAUUCACCGACAUCUCUGUUGCUAUCCUCCAUGUUUUCCUUUUGGAAAAUGCAUAAAUGCCACUCUGAGAACGGAGCACGCACAGGGGGCUGCCCUGCGUGACCUUGGACUCCCGGCUGGGCCUGGCCAGAGCUUCCCCCACAGAACCCAAAGUCUGAGGAGGCACGAAAUAAAUACCCUGACAUUUCAUCACAUGCUCCCGUCUUUAAAAAAUACUUAUACAAAUUUGUACUCCAUGCCAUACAAUAUGCACAUCUGUUUUAGUAUAAAAUAUUUCCACCUCCUUCCUCCAAACCCGAAGUUAUAGGAAGAAGUGCACGUUUAUCCUGUAACUUUGAGUAGCCCACUUCAUGCAUGUCUGUGCAUCUCAGCUGGGAGCCACUCCCACCUAAAAGUGUUCAUUGUAGGAUCCAAGGAUUUUCCAACUAAGCAGGGCUUUUUGACUAUUACCUAGAAAUGUCCUUGAAAAAUACUGUAGUACUAUUUUUUUUUUUUUUUGCAGUGAGCAUGCGUGCAUCUGAGGAUAGUCCUUAAGGGUAGGACUUUGUUCAUCUUUGGAUCUCCCACAAACCUAGCACAAGACCUAGCACACAGGAGGCCUUUGGUUAAGAUUUGUGAAUUUUGUUUUAUAAAGACCCCUUCACUGGAUCAACGGCAUGCCGGGGGCCUCCUCUGUCUCAGGCUUUCCUUUGGGUGCUGGAGACAGUGAAAGCGGGAGACGCAGUCCUGUCCUCUGGUCUGCUGGCUAUGAACAGAGGGCCAUAGGGGGAAACAAUGGGUGAAGGAUUCUGUCAAGUGUCAUCAAGACCCUUGUACAAGGAGUUUGGCUCAUUCUCUAAUUUGUGGAGCUUUGUAUUCAGGCUGGCCCAGAGGGGUUGCAGUCUAACUUCAGGAGCUUAGAAUUACAGAAUUUCAGAGCUAGUAAGCCCUUAAUGUCACCCAGCCCAGCUCCAUUUGGAGCUGUAGAGCCUCUGACGACCUGCUCGUGGCCCUCUGAACUCACCCGAUCCCCAAGCCACCAGCCUCAUGGCUGUGAGAAAGCAGCUCUGUAAACUCGCCUGGAUUUCCCCCACUGGUCCUCCCUCAGGGCUACACAGGGCAAGCCUGCUCACCCCUGUGCAAGGCAGCCCUUCAGGUAUCUGCAGGUAGCGCUCAGACCUUCCUGGGGACUUUCUGGUCUUAAACAGUCCCUAUUCCAUCAGCUGUGCAUUCAAACAGAUAGAUGGACUUUAAGGAAGUUGAAGCUUAGGGGACAUACAUCAUAACAACAGCCUUCCUGCGGCAAGAAUCCCUUCAAUGACAUCUUUGGGAAGAGGACUCUAGCAUGUGCUUAGCCACUGAAAGUAACAGUGGUGGUUGGGGGAUGGGGUCUCGUUACUCCCGAGAGGCAGCCCACUGCUUUGCUUGACAUAUGUCCUGCCACCAGGGCCUUCCCCGUAGUGAUCUGGUGUCUGCCUCCUCCCUCUCCUUCCACUGGUCCAGGGAUCACUGACCAAAUGCCGCCUUCCCUAACCCUGCACCACCGAAUCCCAGAAUCCCCCAAAUCUCAGUAUGAAGGGUCCUCUCAAAAGAUUGAAAGACAUAUACUUAACAGUAUGAAUUUAUAAUCACAGCACAGUCAGUUGGGGAAAUUCUUUAACCCCGGGGAAAUCACAGGCUGGAAAAAUCACUUAAAUGCAACAUCCACCACCGCUACUAUCAACAGCGUUCCACCACGUGCUGAUGUGGGAGCGCCUGGCUGUCAUGUUGCGUCCUCGUGGGAGACAGCGCUGGCUGCUCAACACCUGUUCUCCAAACACAGAGCUGGGAGUGGUCCCGGAUUAACAGCCCUCCCCCAGCU